Podarcis lilfordi (Lilford's wall lizard) is the source of this 74-nucleotide non-coding RNA. Lineage: Eukaryota; Metazoa; Chordata; Lepidosauria; Squamata; Lacertidae. The record is from the annotation of a GenBank genome assembly.
GCCUGAAUAGCUUAGUCGGUUAGAGCGUGUUGCUGGUAACGCCAAGGCUGCAGGUUCAAUCCCUGUAUGGGAUA